CCUACGGGGGGCAGCAGUGAGGAAUAUUGGUCAAUGGACGAGAGUCUGAACCAGCCAAGUUGCGUGAAGGAUGACUGCCCUAUGGGUUGUAAACUUCUUUUAUAUGGGAAUAAAAUGUUCCAUGUGUGGGAUUUUGUAUGUACCAUAUGAAUAAGGAUCGGCUAACUCCGUGCCAGCAGCCGCGGUAAUACGGAGGAUCCGAGCGUUAUCCGGAUUUAUUGGGUUUAAAGGGAGCGUAGGUGGAUUGUUAAGUCAGUUGUGAAAGUUUGCGGCUCAACCGUAAAAUUGCAGUUGAAACUGGCAGUCUUGAGUACAGUAGAGGUGGGCGGAAUUCGUGGUGUAGCGGUGAAAUGCUUAGAUAUCACGAAGAACUCCGAUUGCGAAGGCAGUUCACUGGACUGCAACUGACACUGAGGCUCGAAAGUGUGGGUAUCAAACAGGAUUAGAUACCCGUGUAGUC
Molecule: ribosomal RNA, 460 nt
Filed under: uncultured bacterium
Lineage: Bacteria
Description: partial 16S ribosomal RNA
Rfam family: Bacterial small subunit ribosomal RNA
Source: RNAcentral